AAAACCUGCUAUAAUCAAAAACAAAAUCAACCCAAUGGCAUUAACAAUACCCACAAGUUACAACCAACAUUGUCAUAAGAUAAUCACCUCCGUCAAGAGAACCAUGGUAACCGCCGCCACUAGCACCAGUAAUCCAACACCUUCCGGCGGCGCGUUCACCACCAUCAAACAAAAAGUAACAUUCGAAAGAGAAAUCAAGAAAAGCAAAUUCAUCGCCGUAGCCGCCCCUAUCUCCGAUGAACAAUCCGCCUUCUCAUUUCUCUCGCAGGUAAAAGAUACACGCGCCACUCAUAAUUGUUGGGCUUACAAGGUCGGCGAUCAAUUUAGGUCUAACGACGAUGGGGAGCCGUCAGGUACUGCCGGAAAACCAAUUCAAUCCGCUAUCGACUCGUCUGGUAUUGAUAGAGUUAUGGUUGUUGUUAUUAGGUAUUUUGGAGGUAUUAAAUUAGGCACUGGAGGAUUAGUUAGGGCUUACGGAGGAGUUGCAUCGGAAUGCUUGAGAAAUGCUCCGACUUGUCUUGUAAAAUCGAAGAUUCCGAUGGGCGUGGAGGUUCCUUAUGAUCUUAUAGGAGUUCUAAAUCAUCAGCUACAAUCUUGUCGAGUAGAGAACAUCAGGCAGGACUAUGAGACUGGUAAAGAUGGCAUUGCCAUGGUCUCUUUCCAAGUUGAUUUUGACCAGGUUGAGAAAUUAGAGGAUGCUAUCAAAGCAAAUUGUAGUAGAGACCUUGUAUUUUAUAAGCGGUGAGACAGACAUGGAUGUUUUUUAUACGUGGAUACCAGGAAUUUUGACGAUUUCAUGGUUAAUCAAACAGUACAAGAAAUGGAACCUAACGAGUGCAUCAUACUCCAUAGAUGACCUUUCAAAAGCCUUGCACCGGUGCAAUGAUGGCAAGAACAGCCAAAAACCAGUAACCAUCAUAAACCCUAUUGUCAAAGGUCCUGAGAUCAGCCAUGGUAACUGCCACCAAUCGGCAGUUGCCUUCUUCAAAGCAACCUCAACCGCUAGACAGAAUCCAUGGAGGACAAAGAAGCAAGUGAGUUCCCAUGUAGGCUUCUCUCGGCCAAGGUAGUAAAACACUAGCUCAUGCAUCAUACCUGACACAAGAAAUGUCACUAAUAUUGCUGGAAUCGGGGCCCACUUUCUGCCUACGAUAUACGUGGAUAGAUUGCGAGUUGGUUUGUAAACCGUGGGUCGCAGAAUACUCGGAACCACAAGGUUCCAUCUUCUACCCCAAAAGUCUUGUAAGGAGGUAGAGAGGUACGGCUCAUUGAAUUGUGGUUCGAUCACUAACCCUAGCCCGCUAGCAGAGGCUCCCAUCAUGGCUAGGACUAGUUCAAGAGAAACAUAUACUUGGAUACAAUAUAGAAAGGGGAUGAUCUUAGGGUGGAUAAGGUCACUGUAGUCAUAAAAAUGAAUGACUAUAGCGACGAGUAGGGCCUUUAGCGUAGAGAUUUCGGAUGAUUUUUUACCGUCUUUAGGUGUAUGGACAGACAAUUUUUCUUGGAUGUUGAUCGGUAGGCAAGCUGAAGCAAUGAAAUGCGGAAGAUAGAGUGAAGGAUUUGAAGAUAAAGGACCUUUGCCAAAAGCAAAGAGCAAGAGCUUGAAAUUUGCAAGCCAAGCAAUUGAAAAGCAUGUCGGGCCACCAAGAUGCAUUGUGGAAAGAUGGAGAGGGAGGUAGAGAAAGAGGGAGAUAAUUGGUAGUAAACAAACGAGUCUUAUCGUGCCAUUUGGAACUUUAUGACCAAUAACAUAGCAGUAGGAUAAUGAGAUCAAAACUGAUAGCCAAACCUUAAUGAAGUUGCUAAUCUCAUUUUCCAUUUUGUUCAAAAUCUUUUCUCUUUCUUUGUUCUUAAUGAAAUACUGAUCAUGAUCAUUCUAUUUAUAUAUGCUUCUGUGGUAGAAAUUGUUGAAGAUCUGCAAAUAGAGUUUGAUCAGAUUCAAGAAACUGUUCUUUCUUUUA
This is an RNA transcript of Mercurialis annua (annual mercury), 1961 nucleotides long. RefSeq lists it as uncharacterized. Lineage: Eukaryota; Viridiplantae; Streptophyta; Magnoliopsida; Malpighiales; Euphorbiaceae. The transcript is spliced from 5 exons. The record is from RefSeq and is a predicted model, not a curated record.